UACAGAGGUCUCAAGCGUUGUUCGGAUUCAUUGGGCGUAAAGGGUGCGUAGGUGGUGGGGUAAGUCGGAUGUGAAAUCUCGGGACUCAACCCCGAAACUGCACUUGAUACUGCGAUGCUCGAGUACUGGAGAGGAGAUUGGAAUUUACGGUGUAGCAGUGAAAUGCGUAGAUAUCGUAAGGAAGACCAGUGGCGAAGGCGAAUCUCUGGACAGUUACUGACACUGAGGCACGAAGGCCAGGGGAGCAAACAGG
Molecule: ribosomal RNA, 253 nt
Filed under: uncultured bacterium
Lineage: Bacteria
Description: partial 16S ribosomal RNA
Rfam family: Bacterial small subunit ribosomal RNA
Source: RNAcentral